Molecule: non-coding RNA, 411 nt
Organism: Arachis ipaensis
Lineage: Eukaryota; Viridiplantae; Streptophyta; Magnoliopsida; Fabales; Fabaceae
Source: RefSeq, a predicted model, not a curated record
CGUUUGACUAUAGCAGUAAAGUGUAGUAAACUCAGUAUCUACAUGAUUCCAUUGUUCCUUCCUUCCCUGUCCAACGGCCCAAGUGCCCAUUCUCUCUCAUUUUCUUCUCUCUCUCUCUCUCUCUCUCUCUGUGCAAUUUUAUUUUAACCUAAAUCAAAGGUGACUCUGAUUAUCGAUAAGAGAGAGAUCGACGAGGCAUAUUAGGAACACUUGAAAUCUGGCAUGAAAAAGGUCCAAGGUGGUCGCAACUGAUGGUGACCAAUUCAGAUCUGUUGUCUUCACUCGUCUUCCAUAGCUGAAUCUUAACCUUCAUGCAGCAUUCCUCCAACACAACGCAGCACCACUCAACUCUCUUCUUCAUAUUGCUUUCGUUUCUUCUUCCUAGCCCCUCUUCUGUUUUAAAUUAAUUGC